GAAAUGGACGUGCACAUCGAUCGCGCCAGGUGUCGCGAUCAAUCCCUCGCAAUCGCGCACCGUGGUGCCGGUCGAGACGAUCAGGCGCGGAUCGACGCCAUCCAUGAUCGCCGGAUUGCCGGCCUUGCCGAUGCCGACGAUGCGCCCGUUGCGGAUGCCGAGAUCGCCCUUGACGAUGCCGAUGACGGGAUCGAUCACGGUGACGUUGCAGAGCAGGAAAUCCAGCGCGCCUUCCGCGCUGGUGAGGCCGGCCAUGCCGAUGCCGUCCCG
Molecule: small RNA, 270 nt
Filed under: uncultured Bradyrhizobium sp.
Lineage: Bacteria; Pseudomonadati; Pseudomonadota; Alphaproteobacteria; Hyphomicrobiales; Nitrobacteraceae
Description: 5' ureB small RNA
Source: RNAcentral